RNAcentral lists this ribosomal RNA (254 nucleotides) under uncultured bacterium. RNAcentral describes it as "partial 16S ribosomal RNA". It matches the Rfam family "Bacterial small subunit ribosomal RNA", at positions 526 to 779 of the family's 1533-position model. The record is from RNAcentral.
CGUAGGGUGCGAGCGUUGUCCGGAUUUAUUGGGCGUAAAGAGCUCGUAGGCGGUUUGUCGCGUCGGCCGUGAAAACCUACAGCUUAACUGUGGGCUUGCGGUCGAUACGGGCAGACUUGAGUUCGGCAGGGGAGACUGGAAUUCCUGGUGUAGCGGUGAAAUGCGCAGAUAUCAGGAGGAACACCGGUGGCGAAGGCGGGUCUCUGGGCCGAUACUGACGCUGAGGAGCGAAAGCGUGGGGAGCGAACAGGAUU